CCUCUGUGAGAAGUGCAACUGAUGUCAUCGCUCAGUUUGUUUGAUGUAGCUAUCCGUACAGUUGAUUUAAAUGUUGUAUGGUUUGAGUUAUGAUUUGAGGGGUCCAAGAUGUUGGCGUGCACACAUAUACACACAUAUAUAUGUACAUAUAUUAAUAGUGACAGAAUUAUUAUUUUUAUAAUACACUAAGUGUUUUGAAAAUGUUUAAAUUUAAGGACGCUGAGUCAUUUUAUGCUUUACCAACAAUGACGCAGAGUAAAACUGGUCAGCAUCAACGUAACUUUUCUAUGAUGUGUAAGAAACGUUUUGACAUCAUUUACCAAUCGUCCUGCCUACUUUAUUAUAGAAAGCUUUUUAUGAGUUGUCGGAAGGCGGUGACGUCACAGGAAGUAAAAUAAAAAUGAUGACAAAUGGCGCUUGCGUUGUUGUGUUAGUUCAUUACAGUUUUUAUAAAAUUGUUCAUCAAAAAUUAUUUAAUAUUAUG
This is a long non-coding RNA of Bactrocera tryoni, 484 nucleotides long. RefSeq lists it as uncharacterized. The transcript has 3 exons. Lineage: Eukaryota; Metazoa; Arthropoda; Insecta; Diptera; Tephritidae. The record is from RefSeq and is a predicted model, not a curated record.